CCUACGGGGGGCAGCAGUGGGGAAUAUUGCACAAUGGGGGAAACCCUGAUGCAGCGACGCCGCGUGAGUGAAGAAGUAAUUCGUUAUGUAAAGCUCUAUCAGCAGGGAAGAAAAUGACGGUACCUGAGUCAGAAGCCCCGGCUAACUACGUGCCAGCAGCCGCGGUAAUACGGAGGGGGCAAGCGUUAUCCGGAUUUACUGGGUGUAAAGGGAGCGUAGACGGCAGUGCAAGUCUGGAGUGAAAGGCGGGGGCUCAACCCCCGGACUGCUCUGGAAACUGUACGGCUGGAGUGCAGGAGAGGUAAGUGGAAUUCCUAGUGUAGCGGUGAAAUGCGUAGAUAUUAGGAGGAACACCAGUGGCGAAGGCGGCUUACUGGACUGUAACUGACGUUGAGGCUCGAAAGCGUGGGGAGCAAACAGGAUUAGAUACCCUUGUAGUC
Molecule: ribosomal RNA, 440 nt
Filed under: uncultured bacterium
Lineage: Bacteria
Description: partial 16S ribosomal RNA
Rfam family: Bacterial small subunit ribosomal RNA
Source: RNAcentral